RNAcentral lists this long non-coding RNA (417 nucleotides) under Mytilus galloprovincialis (Mediterranean mussel). Lineage: Eukaryota; Metazoa; Mollusca; Bivalvia; Mytilida; Mytilidae. The record is from RNAcentral.
GUUCUAUAUGUUCUGAUUUGACUCAAGCAAGAUAUAAAUACAUGUAAUAUGGUAUUGUCAAAUAAAAGUAUUAAUAAGUAUUAAAAACAUAAACCUUGUAGACCACACAAGAUGCAAUUCUGACAAUAAAUAUGACAUAAAGCCAGAAUAUUUAGAAAAAAAAAAGCUAAAGUAACUGUCGAAGAGCUGGAUCUAAAGCUGAACCACUUCAGGACAACAAAAAUCAGAGAAAUAAAAAAAAACAUAACGAAAACAUUAACAUGUCACGAUAUAGAAAAUGAAUGGAAAUGGGGUAAGUGUCAAAGAGAACAAUUAACCCACCCCAAAUAUACAAAACAACUAGGCAUCACUAUACAGAUACAGUCUGAUUUAAAAAGUGUUAUAAUGAAACAGUACUGAAGAAAUUAGUAACGAAAC